AAUGGCUCAUUAAAUCAGUUAUCGUUUAUUUGAUAGUACCUACCAACUACAUGGAUAACCGUGGUAAUUCUAGAGCUAAUACAUGCUAAAAACCCCGACUUCGGGAGGGGUGUAUUUAUUAGAUAAAAAACCAAUGCCCCUCGGGGCUCCUUGGUGAUUCAUGAUAACUCAACGGAUCGCAUGGCCUUGCGCCGGCGACGGUUCAUUCAAAUUUCUGCCCUAUCAACUUUCGAUGGUAAGGUAUUGGCUUACCAUGGUUUCAACGGGUAACGGGGAAUUAGGGUUCGAUUCCGGAGAGGGAGCCUGAGAAACGGCUACCACAUCCAAGGAAGGCAGCAGGCGCGCAAAUUACCCAAUCCCGACUCGGGGAGGUAGUGACAAUAAAUACUGAUACAGGGCUCUUUUGGGUCUUGUAAUCGGAAUGAGUACAAUUUAAACCCCUUAACGAGGAACAAUUGGAGGGCAAGUCUGGUGCCAGCAGCCGCGGUAAUUCCAGCUCCAAUAGCGUAUAUUAAAGUUGUUGCAGUUAAAAAGCUCGUAGUUGAACCUUGGGCCUGGCUGGCCGGUCCGCCUCACCGCGUGUACUGGUCCGGCCGGGCCUUUCCUUCUGGAGAGCCGCAUGCCCUUCACUGGGUGUGUCGGGGAACCAGGACUUUUACUUUGAAAAAAUUAGAGUGUUCAAAGCAGGCCUUUGCUCGAAUACGUUAGCAUGGAAUAAUAGAAUAGGACGUGCGGUCCUAUUUUGUUGGUUUCUAGGACCGCCGUAAUGAUUAAUAGGGAUAGUCGGGGGCAUCAGUAUUCAAUUGUCAGAGGUGAAAUUCUUGGAUUUAUUGAAGACUAACUACUGCGAAAGCAUUUGCCAAGGAUGUUUUCAUUAAUCAGUGAACGAAAGUUAGGGGAUCGAAGACGAUCAGAUACCGUCGUAGUCUUAACCGUAAACUAUGCCGACUAGGGAUCGGGCGAUGUU
Molecule: ribosomal RNA, 967 nt
Filed under: Pseudotetraploa bambusicola
Lineage: Eukaryota; Fungi; Ascomycota; Dothideomycetes; Pleosporales; Tetraplosphaeriaceae
Description: SSU rRNA
Rfam family: Eukaryotic small subunit ribosomal RNA
Source: RNAcentral